This 529-nucleotide long non-coding RNA is filed under the name Gopherus evgoodei (Goodes thornscrub tortoise). RNAcentral describes it as "lncRNA (ENSGEVG00005010462.1)". Lineage: Eukaryota; Metazoa; Chordata; Testudines; Testudinidae. The record is from RNAcentral.
UGGCUCCCCGCCGGCGGGCAGGAGAAAGGGGACUUGCCUUCCGCGCAGGGGCCCCCGAGGAAGAAGAAGCCCAAGUCUGGCUCCUCCAGCCUGCGCUGGGCUUUCAGCUGGCUUCGGGGCAAGAGGAGGAGGAAGAAGAGCAGCGGCUCCAACGCCCACCAUGGGGCGCCCCCCGCGGAGGGGGAGGCGCCCUCUAAGGCAAAGAAGCCGGAGGAGCGAGCCAAGAAGGGCAAAGGCUCUGCCAAGGCUGAGAACAAGAGGCUGAAUGUCCAGUACAAGGCGGGAGAGGAACGGCCCGACAAUGUCUUCUUCCCCAGCAGCCGUCCACCGCACCUGGAAGAACUGCACAACCAGGCUCAGGCAGGGCUCAAAUCUCUGCAGCACCAAGAAAAACAAAAACAGACCAGAAGCGGCUGGGACCACGGAGACAGCAACAGCAUCCAGUCUUCCCACACCUCUGCGGCGGACGAUGAGAUUUCCUUCCGAAGCAGGACCCAGUCAUGCACAACAGAGAAUGCCUCUGAGGACG